Molecule: ribosomal RNA, 585 nt
Filed under: uncultured bacterium
Lineage: Bacteria
Description: partial 16S ribosomal RNA
Rfam family: Bacterial small subunit ribosomal RNA
Source: RNAcentral
UGGGGAAUUUUGGACAAUGGGCGAAAGCCUGAUCCAGCAAUGCCGCGUGUGUGAAGAAGGCCUUCGGGUUGUAAAGCACUUUUGUCCGGAAAGAAAUCCUUGGCUCUAAUACAGUCGGGGGAUGACGGUACCGGAAGAAUAAGCACCGGCUAACUACGUGCCAGCAGCCGCGGUAAUACGUAGGGUGCAAGCGUUAAUCGGAAUUACUGGGCGUAAAGCGUGCGCAGGCGGUUUGCUAAGACCGAUGUGAAAUCCCCGGGCUCAACCUGGGAACUGCAUUGGUGACUGGCAGGCUAGAGUAUGGCAGAGGGGGGUAGAAUUCCACGUGUAGCAGUGAAAUGCGUAGAGAUGUGGAGGAAUACCGAUGGCGAAGGCAGCCCCCUGGGCCAAUACUGACGCUCAUGCACGAAAGCGUGGGGAGCAAACAGGAUUAGAUACCCUGGUAGUCCACGCCCUAAACGAUGUCAACUAGUUGUUGGGGAUUCAUUUCCUUAGUAACGUAGCUAACGCGUGAAGUUGACCGCCUGGGAAGUACGGUCGCAAGAUUAAAACUCAAAGGAAUUGACGGGGUCAUAGCUGUUUCCU